RNAcentral lists this long non-coding RNA (493 nucleotides) under Numida meleagris (helmeted guineafowl). Its description in RNAcentral is "lncRNA (ENSNMEG00000020322.1)". The record is from RNAcentral. Lineage: Eukaryota; Metazoa; Chordata; Aves; Galliformes; Numididae.
CUGUUUUAUAUACUAUUAUCUACUCUUUUCUUCAGCAUAAAAUAUAAUUCUGUAAGUUACAGAUGGUCACCAAAUUGACAAUGUAUUUACUGAAGCAUGAAUUUCCAACCCAGUGAAACUCCUCUUCCCCCCGUGCUCAAGAGACUCUGGAAUAACACAAAGCGACAAUAUGCAUGGCCUCUUCUAACUUUAUCUUUGGACUUUCAUGGCCCAUCACAUGCAGAGCAGAUUUGGUUUUCAUGGAAGAUAGUCAUGUAAAGAGAUAAGCCUUCUCCAGUCUACAAAAUGGAUAGAAGCACUGCUAGAAACAAAAGUGAUUCAUCAAAUGGCACAGCUGUUCACUGUAUGUUCAUAAUGAGCUUUUUUAUUUGGGUGCUGUUUGGUAUUUAUAGCUAAUUAACUCCCUUUUACACCACCCAACAAUCUGCAUUUAGAGCACAGAGAAAAUGGAAAUAGAUUGAAUUAAAGCUGUUAAAUACAGAGCAAAUUCAGU